This is a long non-coding RNA of Thrips palmi, 365 nucleotides long. RefSeq lists it as uncharacterized. The transcript has 3 exons. The record is from RefSeq and is a predicted model, not a curated record. Lineage: Eukaryota; Metazoa; Arthropoda; Insecta; Thysanoptera; Thripidae.
AUGGAAAACACUAAGACAAAAACACCGACCAGUUCAGCGGCCAAAGCAGAAGCAGAGCAGAAUUCGUAAGUCAAGAGUCGAAAGAAAGAUCUUUUUGUCUGUCACUAGUGAUAUUUCGAAAACCUACCGGUGGCGACUUGCGUCGUUUUGAAAGCAAGUCUUUGGUUUCAUUUGGCCAUGCAUCUAAAAUAAAUUGGUAUGGAGGGAGUUGCAUUUUUCACCCAAGGUGGAGCAUUUACCCGACUUUGACAAUUAUCACUUCAUGCAUCUAAUGUCAAUGCAAACCAAUGAAGCAAGGAAAUGGUUAUUCUCUCUUACGUUACUCAUGAGCUUCAUAACUUUCUUGCGAAGGAAAUCAAUCCGAU